GCUUCCGUGGUGGAAUGGUAGACACUCAUGAUUUAAAAUCAUGUGCGAUAUUCGCAUACCGGUUCAAGUCCGGUCGGAAGUA
This 82-nucleotide transfer RNA is filed under the name Cymbomonas tetramitiformis. RNAcentral describes it as "tRNA-Leu". It matches the Rfam family "tRNA". Rfam says of the family: Transfer RNA (tRNA) molecules are approximately 80 nucleotides in length. Their secondary structure includes four short double-helical elements and three loops (D, anti-codon, and T loops). Further hydrogen bonds mediate the characteristic L-shaped molecular structure. tRNAs have two regions of fundamental functional importance: the anti-codon, which is responsible for specific mRNA codon recognition, and the 3' end, to which the tRNAs corresponding amino acid is attached (by aminoacyl-tRNA synthetases). tRNAs cope with the degeneracy of the genetic code in two manners: having more than one tRNA (with a specific anti-codon) for a particular amino acid; and 'wobble' base-pairing, i.e. permitting non-standard base-pairing at the 3rd anti-codon position. The record is from RNAcentral. Lineage: Eukaryota; Viridiplantae; Chlorophyta; Pyramimonadophyceae; Pyramimonadales; Pyramimonadaceae.